AGGAUUCUCCCGGUAACGGCGAGUGAACGGAGAUUAGCCCAUCACCGAAGCCUAUCCGUGUUUGCGGAAAGGGCAAUGUGGUGUAAGGGCCAUUGCCUGGGACCGCUUGCUCACCCAAAGUCCGACACCGAAUACGGCUAGGAUAUUGUCCAGAGCGGGUGAUAGACCCGUGUGGGUGAGCUUGAGAAUGAAGCGGACCCUAGACGCAGUGGCCUGCGAGUCGGAUUGCUUGAGAAUGCAGUCCAAAGAGGGUGGUAAACUCCAUCCAAGGCUAAAUACUGGCACGAGUCCGAUAGUAGACAAGUACCGUGAGGGAAAGUUGAAAAGUACUCUGAAGAGAGAGUAAAUAGUACGUGAAACCGCUUGCAGGGAAGCUGGUGGAGUCAAGCUUCUUGCCGUGAGGUUGUGAUUGGGCGCUACGUUGUGAGAGUGGAGAGGGGCCGAUCGACAUGGAAAUGUUCGGGCGCAUUCGUGUGCUUGGAGUCUUCCUGGUGUGUGAGAUCCGGUCGGUCCUAAGUCUCCUGCGCCCAGUCUUGUAUCCUCUUGUGCAUGGAUCACGGUGGACAGUGUGAUGUGGUGAAAGGCGCUAACUGUGGCGUCGCGGGUAGCAAUAUCUGCGUGUUGCGGGAUGGCAGAAGGUGGCUGCGGCUUGCCGUAUGUCGCUUAUUGUGAUUUCGAUCUGCUGUGCCUUGUGUGAUGGAUCGCGCUGUCUAUCAUGUUGGUCCGGUUGUCUUCGGACGGCCGGUCACUGAGAGCCGUGGUUUUGAAGUAGA
RNAcentral lists this ribosomal RNA (773 nucleotides) under Pseudodactylogyrus sp. XHY. RNAcentral describes it as "eukaryotic LSU rRNA". It matches the Rfam family "Eukaryotic large subunit ribosomal RNA", at positions 71 to 617 of the family's 3401-position model. The record is from RNAcentral. Lineage: Eukaryota; Metazoa; Platyhelminthes; Monogenea; Dactylogyridea; Pseudodactylogyridae.